AUUGAACGCUGGCGGCAUGCUUUACACAUGCAAGUCGAACGGUAACAGGCCUUCGGGUGCUGACGAGUGGCGAACGGGUGAGUAAUGCAUCGGAACGUGCCCAAUCGUGGGGGAGUAACGUAGCGAAAGUUACGCUAAUACCGCAUAAGCCCUGAGGGGGAAAGCAGGGGAGUCGCAAGACCUUGCGCGAAUGGAGCGGCCGAUGUCAGAUUAGCUAGUUGGUGGGGUAAAGGCCUACCAAGGCGACGAUCUGUAGCGGGUCUGAGAGGAUGAUCCGCCACACUGGGACUGAGACACGGCCCAGACUCCUACGGGAGGCAGCAGUGGGGAAUUUUGGACAAUGGGCGCAAGCCUGAUCCAGCCAUGCCGCGUGCGGGACGAAGGCC
Molecule: ribosomal RNA, 386 nt
Filed under: uncultured bacterium
Lineage: Bacteria
Description: bacterial SSU rRNA
Rfam family: Bacterial small subunit ribosomal RNA
Source: RNAcentral